UUGAACGCUGGCGGAAUGCUUUACACAUGCAAGUCGAGCGGCAGCGCGGGGGCAACCCUGGCGGCGAGCGGCGAACGGGUGAGUAACAUAUCGGAACGUACCCUGUCGUGGGGGAUAACACAGCGAAAGCUGUGCUAAUACCGCAUACGACCUGAGGGUGAAAGCGGGGGAUCGCAAGACCUCGCGCGAUAGGAGCGGCCGAUAUCGGAUUAGCUUGUUGGUGAGGUAAAGGCUCACCAAGGCGACGAUCCGUAGCUGGUCUGAGAGGACGACCAGCCACACUGGAACUGAGACACGGUCCAGACUCCUACGGGAGGCAGCAGUGGGGAAUUUUGGACAAUGGGCGAAAGCCUGAUCCAGCCAUACCGCGUGAGUGAAGAAGGCCUUCGGGUUGUAAAGCUCUUUCAGCCGGAAAGAAAUUGCUUCUAUUAAUACUAGGAGUAGAUGACGGUACCGGAAGAAGAAGCACCGGCUAACUACGU
RNAcentral lists this ribosomal RNA (482 nucleotides) under uncultured bacterium. RNAcentral's name for it is "bacterial SSU rRNA". It matches the Rfam family "Bacterial small subunit ribosomal RNA", at positions 30 to 506 of the family's 1533-position model. The record is from RNAcentral.